RNAcentral lists this ribosomal RNA (17 nucleotides) under fungal endophyte sp. AP652. RNAcentral's name for it is "partial 28S ribosomal RNA". Lineage: Eukaryota; Fungi. The record is from RNAcentral.
GGUUGACCUCGGAUGAG